This 492-nucleotide ribosomal RNA is filed under the name uncultured bacterium. RNAcentral's name for it is "partial 16S ribosomal RNA". It matches the Rfam family "Bacterial small subunit ribosomal RNA", at positions 29 to 507 of the family's 1533-position model. The record is from RNAcentral.
AGUGAACGCUGGCGGCAGGCCUAACACAUGCAAGUCGAGCGGAAGGACGGUGAGUGCUCCCUUCUGCGGCUGGCGACGGGCGGGUGAGUGAGAAGUAGCUAGGUUUCCACUUUGUCUGGGGUCAUUACGGGGGGGCUCAUACACUAACGGCGCAUAUGUUGAACGGGGUGGAUCAGCGGAUCUCGCGGUAUUGGGUGAUCCUUUGAGGUGUGGUCGGAUUAGCUAGUUGGUGGGGUAAAGGCCUACCAAGGCGACGAUCCGUAGCUGGUCUGAGAGGAUGAUCAGCCACACUGGAACUGAGACACGGUCCAGACUCCUACGGGAGGCAGCAGUGGGGAAUAUUGGACAAUGGGCGAAAGCCUGAUCCAGCCAUGCCGCGUGUGUGAAGAAGGUCUUCGGAUUGUAAAGCCCUUUUAUUGGGGAAGAAGAGCAGUAAGUUAAUACCUCGCUGUUUUGACGUUACCCAAAGAAUAAGCACCGGCUAACUUCGUG